Molecule: microRNA precursor, 91 nt
Filed under: Canis lupus familiaris (dog)
Lineage: Eukaryota; Metazoa; Chordata; Mammalia; Carnivora; Canidae
Also listed under: 1 other name
Description: mir-8799 microRNA precursor family
Rfam family: mir-8799 microRNA precursor family
Source: Rfam by way of RNAcentral
GGGAGGGCAAGAUCCUGGGCUGUGUCCCCCAGUGCCCUGGGCUCCCGGGCCUGCACCGCUAGAAUCGAGCUCCCGGGCCAUGCAGCCUCCU